GACGAACGCUGGCGGCGUGCCUAAUACAUGCAAGUCGAACGCUGAAGGAGGAGCUUGCUUCUCUGGAUGAGUUGCGAACGGGUGAGUAACGCGUAGGUAACCUGCCUGGUAGCGGGGGAUAACUCUUGGAAACGAUAGCUAAUACCGCAUAAGAGUAGAUGUUGCAUGACAUUUGCUUAAAAGAUGCAAUUGUAUCACUACCAGAUGGACCUGCGUUGUUUUAGCUGGUGGGUGGGGUAACGGCCCACCACGGCGACGAAACAUAGCGGACUUGAGAGGGGAUCCGCCACCCUGGGAACGGGACACGGCCCAGACGUCCAAGGGGAGGAGCAGGAGGGGAACUUCGGCAAAGGGCGGAAGGCUGAACGGGGCACGCCGGGGGAGGGGAGAAGGGUUUCGGAUCGGAAAGAUCUGUUGUAAGGGAAGAAAGAGUGUGGGAGUGGAAAGUUCACAUUGUGACGGUAGCUUAUCAGAAAGGGACGGCUAACUACGUG
RNAcentral lists this ribosomal RNA (494 nucleotides) under uncultured bacterium. RNAcentral describes it as "partial 16S ribosomal RNA". It matches the Rfam family "Bacterial small subunit ribosomal RNA", at positions 28 to 507 of the family's 1533-position model. The record is from RNAcentral.